Hydra vulgaris (swiftwater hydra) is the source of this 1586-nucleotide non-coding RNA. NCBI's taxonomy places the organism in Eukaryota, Metazoa, Cnidaria, Hydrozoa, Anthoathecata, Hydridae. The record is from RefSeq and is a predicted model, not a curated record.
UUUUAUAUGUUACAUAAAAAAGAAGAUUAAUGCUUCAAUUUAAAACUUUGCUUUUGAAUGUAUUGUUAACUAAUAGUAUCUGUUGUCAAUUUUAUUAUGACACAACAUACAAAUCAGAUAAUUCAUUGGUUUAUUCCUUGCAAAAGACUUAUCCUGCUGCACAUUAUGAAGCCUUUUUGAGAUGUCUUCAAUCUACCCAGCUUAUUUUAUUUAUUUUUAUUACUUUUUUUAUCUUUAACAACAUCAUCUGCAAUGAGUGGUAAGUUUAGCAAUUAUUAAUUUUUAAUUUUUGCAUUUCUUGACACUUCCAAAUUUAUUUUUUACUAAAACUUUUUAGCUCUAGUUCCAUCCUCAAAUGCAUUGAGUGGUAAGCUUAAAAAUAUUUUUAUUGCAUCCUUCAAAAAACCUGUGCAUGUAUGUAUGUAUUUCGGAUCAAUUGCAAUAUUUCUUUUUUAUUAGAUUUUUUUUUAACUUACUUCCAUCUACAUCUGCAAUAAUUGGUAUGUUUACAAACUUUCACUUUUCAAUAUGUUUAUGCAUUUCUUGGCAAUCACAAUAUUUAUUUUUACUUCAACUUUGUUAGCCUUUAGUUACAUCUUCAGCUGCUACAAGAGGUAAGUUUAUAAACUAUUAAUUUCUAAUAUGUGUAUGCAUAUCUUAUCGAUAGCAAGUAAAUUGUAAUUUUAUUUUUAAAAAAUUUUACCUUGAGUCCCACAACCUCCACAACAACUACAGAUUUAGGGUCCAGUACCCUAGACCAAUUAGUAAUCGUUCAUUUUUGCGGUGGGUCCGGUUAUGAGGGAGAAAUGGUGAAUCAUUCAGCUGGGUCUAUCAUCCUCCUAACAGGGGUGCUGGGAGCUACAGCAGAAGAGGAAGCCAUGGAGGAGGUUGUGGGCAAAGACAGAAUGGUGGCGGCCUUGUCGUGAAUGGUGGCAUCCACUAUUACUAGGCGCCAUCAUGCCUGUUUUUUUUUUAAAUAAAUAUAUAACAUUAUCAAGUUUGUUUUCCAUUUUGUCCCAAUUUUUACAAUUAUUAACAUUUGAUUUAUUUAUUUUAAAUCUUUCAUAAAAUGAUUUAAAAACGAAGCAUUGACAGGUGUAAUAGUUUGCAAGGGAUCUAUUUUUUAUGUUUUCAAUGUGAUUAAAAGUUGUAGUUUAGAAAGUAUUAAAGUUGUAACUAUAAAUAGUUAUAGAGUUUUUAAUGCGUUUAGGAUUUUUUGAGGUUUUGAGUUUUUGAGGUUUUCUCAUAGCACAUAUUAAAUGUAGUUUCAAAUUUAUAUGUAAUGUUUUAUAGAGUUAAUAAAUGUUAAAUAUCUUUGCAUACCUAAUUACUAUUCUUUAUUUUAUUUUAGUUUAUGUACUGUUUUUUUGAGUUAAGAAAUAUUAUUUGAUUAUAGACCAGUUUAAUUGUUUGAUUUUAAACCAGUUUAACUUGUUUACAGUUCCUAAAUAUUAUAUUUACGUAACCAUUACUUGUUUGUAGAAGGUAUGUAUGAGAUUUUUUUUUACAUGUUUUAUUAUAAUGUUAUUAAUAAUUAACAAGUUUUUAUAUAUUGUUUGUUUACUUUUCAAAAAAUUUAAUUAAAA